AUUGAACGCUGGCGGCAGGCCUAACACAUGCAAGUCGAGCGGAUGAAGGGAGCUUGCUCCUGGAUUCAGCGGCGGACGGGUGAGUAAUGCCUAGGAAUCUGCCUGGUAGUGGGGGAUAACGUCCGGAAACGGGCGCUAAUACCGCAUACGUCCUGAGGAGAAAGGGGGGGAUCUUCGGACCUCACGCUAUCAGAUGAGCCUAGGUCGGAUUAGCUAGUUGGUGGGGUAAAGGCCUACCAAGGCGACGAUCCGUAACUGGUCUGAGAGGAUGAUCAGUCACACUGGAACUGAGACACGGUCCAGACUCCUACGGGAGGCAGCAGUGGGGAAUAUUGGACAAUGGGCGAAAGCCUGAUCCAGCCAUGCCGCGUGUGUGAAGAAGGUCUUCGGAUUGUAAAGCACUUUAAGUUGGGAGGAAGGGCAGUAAGUUAAUACCUUGCUGUUUUGACGUUACCAACAGAAUAAGCACCGGCUAACUUCGUG
This 483-nucleotide ribosomal RNA is filed under the name uncultured bacterium. RNAcentral's name for it is "partial 16S ribosomal RNA". It matches the Rfam family "Bacterial small subunit ribosomal RNA", at positions 30 to 507 of the family's 1533-position model. The record is from RNAcentral.